This 253-nucleotide ribosomal RNA is filed under the name uncultured bacterium. RNAcentral's name for it is "partial 16S ribosomal RNA". It matches the Rfam family "Bacterial small subunit ribosomal RNA", at positions 524 to 776 of the family's 1533-position model. The record is from RNAcentral.
CACGUAGGGUGCGAGCGUUGUCCGGAAUUAUUGGGCGUAAAGAGCUCGUAGGCGGUUUGUCGCGUCUGCUGUGAAAUCCCGAGGCUCAACCUCGGGUCUGCAGUGGGUACGGGCAGACUGGAGUGCGGUAGGGGAGAAUGGAAUUCCUGGUGUAGCGGUGGAAUGCGCAGAUAUCAGGAGGAACACCGAUGGCGAAGGCAGUUCUCUGGGCCGUAACUGACGCUGAGGAGCGAAAGCGUGGGGAGCGAACAGG